RNAcentral lists this ribosomal RNA (627 nucleotides) under Triticum aestivum (bread wheat). Its description in RNAcentral is "partial small subunit ribosomal RNA". The record is from RNAcentral. Lineage: Eukaryota; Viridiplantae; Streptophyta; Magnoliopsida; Poales; Poaceae.
AUGAGCGGUUUCCUCGCUGUGGCCGGCAAGAUUGUCACGUUCCUGCUGUGGGUGCUCUUCCUGAUCCUGCAGACAGCCACCAAGGUUGUUGGGGGCCUCCUGCAGGUUGCACCGCCAGUCGAGGCACGGGAAGAGCCGCAACCAGAAGCAGCACCACGACCCAGAUCGCCGCCGGCUGCGAGGAACAGCGCCGGCGGCGGCCCCGCGGACCCAUACGAUCCAUGGUCACAGCCGUGGGACCCACCACCGUCCCCCCACAUCGCUCCGUUGACGGAUGAAUAUCACUCGUCCUCAAUCUACCGGCGGCGGGUGAGCGCUCCGCAGGCCGCUGAGGAUUUGGUGGUUUCCUCCAGCAGUUACUCUCGUUCGGCCGUGGCAGCAGUGCCAGCCUCUCUGGCUCAUGCUGUCUCAGCGCCACCAGUGUCGCGGACAAUUAAGACACCGGCAGUUGCCAGUAAGCGGUCCAAGCUGGAGAGGAAGUACUCCAAGAUUGUGGACCAGUACCGCUCCUUGGAUGAGGUUAUUGAAGCAUUAGCGCAAGCUGGCCUCGAGUCUUCCAAUUUAAUCAUUGGAAUUGAUUUCACGAGAAGUAAUGAUGGACAGGAAAGAGGUCAUUCAAUGGUGUGA